CGGUUAGGGUCUUUUUUACAUGAACCAAAUCGUAUAGAUGGGUAUAUAUGAAAAUAGCGUUAAAAUAAUAACAAGUUUUAGGGCUUCUGAUAUUUUGUCUGUCUCGUACGUGAUACAGUGACAAAGGCAUUCGGCAUUUACACAAUUGCAAUUCUCCAGUCGAGUUUAGAUGGACCAAUGUGUUGUACAAUUUAUAAAGAAUAGCAUUCACUUAUGAUUCUGCAAAUGGUUCCAUUACAAUUAAGAGACAUUAACUUAAAUUAAAAUCUUGAUUAAGUAUCAUUCGUCGGAUUCAUAUU
Cinara cedri is the source of this 299-nucleotide non-coding RNA. NCBI's taxonomy places the organism in Eukaryota, Metazoa, Arthropoda, Insecta, Hemiptera, Aphididae. The record is from the annotation of a GenBank genome assembly.